Molecule: long non-coding RNA, 3601 nt
Filed under: Gallus gallus (chicken)
Lineage: Eukaryota; Metazoa; Chordata; Aves; Galliformes; Phasianidae
Description: lncRNA (ENSGALG00010026607.1)
Source: RNAcentral
CCCUUCCCCAGUCCUCUUCCUCUGGUUGUUGCAUGGAUAAGAUCCAGAUCCGGACACGUACCUAAACCUGAUGGUGACUCAGGGAAACCUGUGAUGCUUUCCCCCAUUGCUGUGCUGCCAUCCCAGUGCUACCCCACGCUGCUCCCAUUGCCAUCCCCUUGUGGGAGCUGUGCCCCAUGGUGCUGUCCCAAGGGCUGAGAGGUUCUCUGGGGGCUGCUUUGUUUUUCCAAGGGUGGCUGCUGGGAAGGAGCAGGUCUGCCUUUGGUGGUAUCCCUUCAAUCCCUGCUUAAAUCCCUACUGAUGUCCUAUGGAGUUCAAUAGGACUUGUGCCUUUCUCCUGCCUGGAUGCAGCAGGAUCCCUGCCCCAGGUCCCAGGGAAGGAGAUGUGAGCUUUGAAUCAGGGGUGCCCAUCAGCAAGAAGGGAGGAGAAGGAACCCCACUGCCUGUUAGCUGCUUUCUUUGCACUGGAGAAAAAAAAAAGGCAGAGAGGGGGGAAUGGGGCAUGCUGGUGUUCUGCUUCCCAGGGCUGAGGAAUUCCCACUGGUGCUGAGGAUCAUAGAAUUGCUAAGGUUGGAAAAGACCCGCAGGAUCAUCCAGUCCAACCAUUAAAUGUAAAGCAAAAAGGAAAGGAAGCAAAAACAAGGAGGAGAAUUCCUCUGUACCUCGGUUUCUCAUUGCUGGGGCUCAUGCUGCUCACCUACCUCACAGGGUACUGCCCACAGCCCCGUGCCCCCAAAGCACUUUGUGGCCCUCAGUGCCACGCACCGGGCAAAGCGAUGCUGAGUGGGUUAUGGGGUUUGUAUUAAUGCUGUCAGGAUGUUGUGUUGUCGUUCAGCUGGAGGCAAAUGAAAAACAAAGCCAAAUAAACCCCACCAAAAAAAUCAGAUUUUGUUUUGUCCUUCCAGGCUCUGCCCACUUUCUCAGUCUUCAGAGUGCAUCUGAGGCCAUGGGGCUUCAGCAGCACUGGGUUUUAUGGAGUCUUUUCUCUCUUUUUUUUUUUUUUCUUCUAUUUUGUUUUUCCUCUGUUGUAGCUUCUGUUUCGUUUGGGUGAAGUCAGUGUGAGCCUGUGAAAAGUGCACGUUCCUCUAAGCAUCCCUUGAGCCAUCCUUUCAGCAUCCCAGUAACGCUCUUGCUGCUGAUGUUCCAGCCUGGCUGUGGGCUGUGCAGAUGGGAGGCGAAGGAUUUGGGCUGCAGAUUUGCUUUUGGGAGCAAUGGUUGGCAGUGAUUUUGCUCAAGAGGUUUCCAUUCCCUCCUGGUGGAAAGGGAGAGGACAACGCUGGCUGCCCGUUGCUGGGUUGCCAGCAGGUGGAAGGGUCCAAAUGGACUGGGGGGCAGCAUUGGGCUGAGUGAUGCUUCAGGUCCUAACAGAGGUGUGAGCCGUGGUGGUGCAGAGCAUGGGAGCUCCACGUCAGUGCUGAGUAGGAAGGGAAAAACGAAGCCUGACUCAGUGAACUCAGCCUUCCUUCAGCAUUUUGGUGGUUUUCUAUUCUUUUUUUUUUCUUUUUCCUCUUUUAUUUUCCUUUCUUUGGAACAUUUGUGAUUGUGGAUAAAACCCCAAAGGGAAACCAGGAGGCAGAGGCUCUUCAAUGCUGAAUUUUGGAGAACGUGCAGAUGCUGCGAACGCACACAUGCAAACUACCUCAGGGCUGAGCAUUGGGCACAGGGGGGGCUUUGGGCACAGCCCCCCCCCCCCCCCCCCCCCCCCCAGACUGCAGGGACAUCCCAGGGGAGAACUGCAGUGUAGAAGAGGAGAGCUGGUGAGGAAGGCUGCUGGGGCUGCUGGUUUGGAAUUGUCGCUGGGCAUUACAUUGGGCCCAUUGGAAAUCAACCCAUUGCUGCAUUAUGCAUUUUGUAGCUUUUGGUGCAGGCAAAUAGCUCCGAGCAGGGAUGCUGUGUUGGGCCAUGGUGGCAAAGCGGUGGGUUACGAACUGGAAAGCAUCAACAUGAGCUAAUGAUGGAAAGGGACUUUUUGCUUGGAAAAAAAAAAAAAGAAAAUAACCAGCACCAAAUUAAGGCAUGGGAGACAGCUGUAUGGCACAACCAAAGCCAUUAUUUUUUUCCAACCCAUUUGGGAAAUGCUCUCUGUAAAGCAGCACAGGCUGUUGUCCAUGGGGAUGCAGCGCUUGGGGCAGAGCAUCCCGCAGGGCCCCAUCCUUCCCACACCCCCUACUGCCACUGGGGUCACCCCAGAAAACAGAUGGGAUUGUCUGGAAUCAGAGUGGAAACCGUGAGAAUCACUGGAAUGGGGUGAAGUGUUCCAUUUCCCAGCAGAUAUUGGUUCAUUUGAAGCACAUCUGGAUUCAGUGUUGACCAUCAAACUUUUGUUGACUUCAGGAGGCAAAAAUCCGCUCCUCAGACCCAACAUGUGCCUUCCCCCUCCCCUGACGCUGCCUUGGACACAGCUCUGGGUGGCUGCAUUGGAACCCCACGACUUUUGGGGUCACCCUACAUGAGGCAAAGCCCCAGAGGAAGCCCUGGAGUUGGGGGUCCGCCCGCUCCACCACGUCAGCCCCAGGGCAUGACCUCCUAUAUAACCAAGUCAUUUUUGUUUAUCUACCUCUUAGUGACAAUAGAUUAAAACUAGGUAGUGGCAACUCCACAUGCUGUAGUUUAGGGGAAAAAAAAAAUUACUCUUUUUCCAAAGAAAAAUGUUCUUUAAAAAUAGAAUUUAUGGGCUUUCUUUUCACUUUAAAGUGGUCGUUAGUUGUAAAAUCUCCAGACCUCAGCAGUCCAAACCGUUUUGGUUGUGACUGACUUUUUUUUGUUGUUGUUAUUUUAUUUUUAACGCUCCGACUUCCAUUACGUUUGGUUUCUUCCCUUUUGAACUUUGAUAUUUACUUCUGUCAGCAGUAGAACUCCAUCAGCUCCCCAGCAUCGCGGGGCUGAACCCCAUCGUGCAUGGGUGGGAGAUGCUGGGGCCAUCAGUCAAUGGUUUUCCCAGUGGCCAUGGGUGUGGGUGGCUUAGUGGUGUGGGUUUGGUGGCACCAAGUUGGAACUGGGGUGGUGGUACCAGGUUGGUGGCACCACUGGUGGCACCGAGGUGGUGGAAUCAGGUUGGUGGCACCAAGUUGGCUCUGGGUUGCUGGAACUGGGUUGAUGGCAUCGGACCGGUGGCUCACUGGUGGCGCCAGUUUGGUUGUACCGGGUUGGUGGCACCACGUUGGUGGCGUUGGGUUGGUGCCGCUGGGCUGGUGCCGACACGAGCACUGCCAUGAGUCCUCCAGCCGUCCAAUCUGAUCCAAUGGAGCCAGCCCUGGGCUCCCAUUCACCCCGCACCCAGGAGCCAUAGGGACAGCUGCACCCAAGGGCGCUCACCACACCAAUGGCCAAAGCAAUGUCUCCCAGCGGCCGCCCCAAUGCGAUUUCAGGCUGUUCCUCAAAACCAUUGUACUGUACGGGGCCGAUGCUGGUGUUCCUCCUCAUGGCUGUUUCUUUCUACCUUUCCCCUCCUCUUUGCCCGUUCCACCCCCGUCCCUCCCACGCGUGAGGCCGUUGCUUUGGGCGUGGAUGGUGGAUGGGGGCGGCUUUCAUUUCUCUCCCAGCGAGGUUUUGCCACGAACCGCUUUACUCCACUGUUUCAUUUUUAAAAAAUAAAAAAAAA